Molecule: ribosomal RNA, 463 nt
Filed under: uncultured bacterium
Lineage: Bacteria
Description: partial 16S ribosomal RNA
Rfam family: Bacterial small subunit ribosomal RNA
Source: RNAcentral
GAUGAACGCUGACAGAAUGCUUAACACAUGCAAGUCGAUGGGGAAGUGGUGCUUGCACCAUGGCAACCAUGGCGGACGGGUGAGUAACGCGUAAGGGACUUACCUGCAGGACUGGGAUAACAGGGGGAAACUCCUGACAAGACCGGAUAAUGUCAUGGAGCUUCCUGGCUUUAUGAUGAAAGGAGACGCCUGCGGAGAGCCUUGCGUCCUAUUAGCUAGUUGGUGAGGUAAUGGCUCACCAAGGCGAAGAUAGGUAGCCGGCCUGAGAGGGUGGACGGCCACAAGGGGACUGAGAUACGGCCCUUACUCCUACGGGAGGCAGCAGUGGGGAAUAUUGGACAAUGGGGGCAACUCUGAUCCAGCAAUUCUGUGUGCACGAAGAAGGUUUUCGGAGUGUAAAGUGCUUUCAGCAGGGAAGAAGUAAGUGACGGUACCUGCAGAAGAAGCGACGGCUAAAUACGUG